This 460-nucleotide ribosomal RNA is filed under the name uncultured bacterium. RNAcentral's name for it is "partial 16S ribosomal RNA". It matches the Rfam family "Bacterial small subunit ribosomal RNA", at positions 338 to 795 of the family's 1533-position model. The record is from RNAcentral.
UCUACGGGAGGCAGCAGUGAGGAAUAUUGGUCAUGUGCCGGAAGGCUGAACCAGCCAUGCCGCGUGAAGGUCAGUGCCCUAUGGGCGUUAAACUUCUUUUGUGCGGGAGCAAUAAUGGUCACGUGUGGCCAGACGAGAGUACCGUACGAAUAAGCAUCGGCUAACUCCGUGCCAGCAGCGGCGGUAAUACGGGGGAUGCAAGCGUUAUCCGGAUUUAUUGGGGUUAAAGGGUGCGUAGGCUGUGAGGUAAGUCAGCGGUGAAAUGCCCCCGCUCAACGGGGUGAAGUGCCAUUGAUACUGGCUUGCUGGAAUGCGGAUGCCGUGGGAGGAAUGUGUGGUGUAGCGGUGAAAUGCAUAGAUAUCACACAGAACACCGAUUGCGACGGCAUCUCACGAAUCCGCGAUUGACGCUGAUGCACGAAAGCGUGGGUAUCAAACAGGAUUAGAUACCCGGGUAGUC